This is a long non-coding RNA of Homo sapiens (human), 626 nucleotides long. The record is from Ensembl. Lineage: Eukaryota; Metazoa; Chordata; Mammalia; Primates; Hominidae.
UUUAGAAGAGAGAUAUCACCGUGGUAAGCAAUGCAGGUUUGAUAGCAACACCAGCUCAGACGGUAAUUCCACAGGACGUACCGGUACCUCAGUCACAUCUUUGUCAUGUUCGAAGCUGCUAGGAAAGGCUAGCAGAAGACUCACCAGAAAGGUUCUGAAGAUACAAACAAAGAGCCUGAAAUGUUGGAAACUUUAGGGUCAAGCAUUGGUAUUAGAGCCUUGGAAAGAGAAUAGAGUUGUCAGUCAAUUUACAUUACACUGGAAACUAUAAUAAAUUGGGCAAAUGCAAUGCAAAGAAAACUGCUGACAGCAGAUAUGUUCCUAAAAUGUAUGUAGAAUGAUGUAGUUGUUAAUUUAAUUAGUUGCUUAAAGCCAGACAAUUUCUUUCCAAAAAUUCUGGCCUGUCAAAAGUUAACGAUCAUCUUUCUUAAUCUAGCAAAUUAAAUAUGACACUGAAUGACUUUAAAUAACACUGACACUUCCAUAGGAAUGUUGAUAUGAAGCAUGGUAUUUAAUUUUUUAUGUAAAAUAUGAAUGCACAGAAAGACAUGAAUGAUGCAUAGUAUGAAAACAUGAUUCAAAAAUAAAAAUAUGACUGGUGAAAUAAAAACUUUAGAGAAAUGUCA